This 17-nucleotide ribosomal RNA is filed under the name Loma pacificodae. Its description in RNAcentral is "partial large subunit ribosomal RNA". Lineage: Eukaryota; Fungi; Microsporidia; Glugeidae. The record is from RNAcentral.
CUCUUCGCAAGGGAUCU